RNAcentral lists this ribosomal RNA (308 nucleotides) under Glomus sp. (unid). Lineage: Eukaryota; Fungi; Glomeromycota; Glomeromycetes; Glomerales; Glomeraceae. The record is from RNAcentral.
CAGUCGUACCGGCGGAUAAUCAGCCUUUCGGGUGCGAUUCUGUGGGGCGUGAGGAGCUUAACCGCCUUCAUGUUUUGCAUAUUCGUGCACAUUUGGUGUACUUGUCCGUGUGGUGGGUUAACAUCAAUUUUGGUGGUCAUAAAAUGAUUGGAGGAAUGUAGCUUUGGUCUCGUAUCGAAGUGUUAUAGACUCUGGUAGAUGUGACGAUUGGGAUUGGAGGUAUUGCAACGGAUACCCCUUCGGGGGCUACCCGUCUGAUCUCUGAAGGUUGCUCCGGUACGAAAGCGUGCUUAUGGUCAUCGAAAGUG